UACGUAGGGGGCUAGCGUUGUCCGGAAUCAUUGGGCGUAAAGCGCGUGUAGGCGGUCCGGUAAGUCCGCUGUGAAAGUCGGGGGCUCAACCCUCGAAUGCCGGUGGAUACUGUCGGGCUAGAGUGCGGAAGAGGCGAGUGGAAUUCCCGGUGUAGCGGUGAAAUGCGUAGAUAUCGAGAGGAACACCUGCGGCGAAGGCGGGUUGCUGGGCUGAUGACUGACGCUGAGGCGCGAAAGCCAGGGGAGCGAACGGG
RNAcentral lists this ribosomal RNA (254 nucleotides) under uncultured bacterium. RNAcentral's name for it is "partial 16S ribosomal RNA". It matches the Rfam family "Bacterial small subunit ribosomal RNA", at positions 524 to 776 of the family's 1533-position model. The record is from RNAcentral.